AGCAUCAUCCUAAAGGACAUUAUCACUUGUGAAAUUAUUUUUAAGCCCGAAUAUCAUCACGUAUAUUAAAUGUUACUUACAGAGGAUGUUUUUUUUUACCAUGUCCUUAUUGUUAUUCAGUUAAGCAACAAACACGUUAGGCUUGACAGUUAAAUAGCUAAUUUUUUUUAGCUUAGCUUUCAGUAUAGACUACAUCCUGAGUGCUAUUUUAUUUCCUACCUAUAUUCUGGAAAGUACCGCCUAUAGCAUGUUUCCGAUUGGUGCGUUUUCAUUGAGUAUAAAACGCUAGCCAAUACUAGGUCAGAAUCACGGAAGGUUCGAGCCAUUCACAGCGAAAGAAGUGCAGCUUGUCGGAAAACGGGUUUGGAAAGUAAUGCAGUAAGACUCGGUAAGCAUAGCAACAGUCCGCCAAAAGUUCAGCACGCUAACAGCUAUUUUGUACCGCGGGAUUGGAGUCGGAGCUCCGUUACACCACUACGGGGCCAGUGGUAAGAUGGCGCUUAAACGAAUACAAAAGGAACUGACUGAUUUGGCCCGAGAUCCUCCUGCACAGUGUUCAGCAGGUCCAGUUGGAGAUGAUGUAUUCCAUUGGCAGGCUACAAUCAUGGGUCCUAACGAGAGUCCCUAUCAGGGUGGUGUUUUCUUCCUGACUAUCCACUUCCCAACAGACUACCCCUUCAAACCGCCAAAGGUUGCAUUCACCACGAGAAUCUACCACCCAAAUAUUAACAGUAACGGCAGCAUCUGUCUGGAUAUCCUCAGGUCCCAGUGGUCUCCUGCACUUACAAUCUCUAAAGUCAUUGCUCCAGUCCAUCCCAAUGAUGUUGGUGUUGAGAUCAGAGCUCUGUGCAGACCACCAAAUUUCCUCCUAUGCAACUAGAAGACAUCUUUGUGGACAUCACUUUGUGCACAGUUCUCUUGUCUAUCUGCUCACUCUUGUGUGAUCCAAACCCAGAUGAUCCUCUCGUACCAGAGAUUGCACGAAUCUACAAAACAGACACAGAAAAAUACAACAGAAUAGCACGGGAAUGGACACAGAAAUAUGCCAUGUGAUGUUGGCAGGACACAUUUACAAACUGUUUAUGCUGUUGUGUUUUGGUCACCGUCUUAACGCCAUUUCAUCACACAUGUCUCUUUUGGAGAAUCUGCAGUUGUCUGCUCAAACAAGACAACAUGACCUGCAGGAGUUGCCAUUUUCAAAUACCAUGUGGACCUCAUACAUCAAGUGGAGUCUUUCUCUACUUCCUGCUUUUUUUUGCCUUGUGGCCAGUACAUCAGUUAUUUACUUUGUCCUCUUGCCUCAUGCAAUCAUUGUAAGAGCACAGUGCUGGCCUGAUCAGGCAGAGGACUGUAGGAUGUGCUACUGGUUCUUCCGGCCUGCGCUGCAUGUCUUCACAGAGUGAAGCUCCGUUGUGGUAUAGCACUGGGAUUCUCAGAUGCCUUCUUUUGUUUUGCUCAUUGUGCAAAUCUGAGAUCCUUUCUUGUUCCAAGCUUUAACAUCUGUAGCAAUGAAAUGCACCACAAUCACAAACUAGUUUAUGUCCUGCUUUUAUUUUUCCCAUAAAUAAAGUCAAAUAAUUAA
Tachysurus fulvidraco (yellow catfish) is the source of this 1582-nucleotide RNA transcript. It is a transcript of the gene named ubiquitin-conjugating enzyme E2D 3, with no coding region annotated. The record is from RefSeq and is a predicted model, not a curated record. The transcript is spliced from 8 exons. Lineage: Eukaryota; Metazoa; Chordata; Actinopteri; Siluriformes; Bagridae.